Myotis daubentonii (Daubenton's bat) is the source of this 595-nucleotide long non-coding RNA. RefSeq lists it as uncharacterized. Lineage: Eukaryota; Metazoa; Chordata; Mammalia; Chiroptera; Vespertilionidae. The transcript has 2 exons. The record is from RefSeq and is a predicted model, not a curated record.
AAUGAAAUGUGCUGUUUCCUCAUCCUCUGUCCGCUCUCCUUCCUGCACAGAUAUUUUAGGCAUGAAUCAGGCAGCAAAAACAAAUGACACUUACUUCCUGGGAGAAUAGGAGUAGGUAGAGAAAGUUACUAAAGGUAGUACCUGAAUUUGAGCCUCACAAUGACCAGGACAGGAAACUCAGAGUCCAAGGGGCUCAGGUUGGAAAGCUGGGGACUUGGCUUCGGGGCAGAGGUUCUACGACCUGAAUGACAGCUGGGUACCCAUCGCUGCCAGGGACAAGCGGGUUUGCUGCUGCAUUUGGAUUUGGGUGUGAAAUGGAUGCCAGCUCCAUCUACUCGCUCUUUCCCACGGCCAGUGUGGAUAGGAACCUGACUACUGAGGGCGAAGGGUGUGUGUCUGUGGAGUCCGGGCAUGUGGGAAAGUGUGGACGUGCAGGUGUGGGGGCUGGGGACGAGGCUGAGGGAGGAUACGCUGUAGCUUCACGUUGUUGAAGAGCGGGCUCUCCUGAGCUUCCAUCACCGUCAUGCUGGCCUGUUUGUGCAGGCGGCAGAAGGACAGGACCAGCGAGCACCACGCGGCCAGCUGCUUCUGCCGA